This 1713-nucleotide long non-coding RNA is filed under the name Lactuca sativa (garden lettuce). RNAcentral describes it as "long non-coding RNA (LSAT_LNC007470)". The record is from RNAcentral. Lineage: Eukaryota; Viridiplantae; Streptophyta; Magnoliopsida; Asterales; Asteraceae.
UUGAUAUUUUAAAAUUACUCAAUGGUUAAUUUAUAGAUUUUUCUAUAAGAACAUUUACGUAUUUGAUAUUAAAUUAGACAAUAAUUCAUUACCGAACAUAAUCAAUUUCUACGACUUUGAAUAAAUAUUCAUUUGUGAACAUAAUAUCAUUGCAUGUAUUUGAUAUGCAUGACUAGUGGUUACAUUCAUAUAUGUUUAGUACCAAACAUUGUGUUCAGUACUAAAUCGUGUAGACAAAAUUGCCGACCACCACCUUCGCAGCCCCUCCCUGCCUCCCUCCGGUUGUGCAGGACCACCAAACACCCAUCCCUUCACCCUCCUAUCUCCAACAAAUCAACCCCAGUUAUCUCCCCUUCGAUUUUCAGUCGUGAAACACUCCCAUCAUCUUCUUCUUGAACUUGUUCCUCACCUGCACCACCACUCUAUCAUUCAAGACCACUAAGUUUUGGAAAAUCAAGAAAAAAAAUCAAGAUUUUGAGAUUAAAAAAAAAAAAUCAGAACUAAUAUUCCUCCACCAGCACCGAUUCAACCUCCAAAUCGACCACCAUCUGAACCCUUAGUCUUAAUCUUGCCAUCGCAGAUCCACCUGCAACUUGAGAACCAGAAGCAGAAAGAGGAAAAAACUCUAAAAAACGAUUAUCAUUGUAAACCAUUUGUGUGUAUAUGUGUUCAACCCUCCAAACACAUACACACACCCACACACACACACACAAAAUUCCUUUUAUCACAUCAAGAUUCAUGAACAAAAAUAGGACACAGAAAUUGACCAAUCGAAGCUAUCCUGAAACUCUUAACCUAUUCAAUUUACUAUAGGUGGUGGUGACGAAUCAGAUCUGAAAACCAAGCUGAGAAAUAAUCCCAUCUUCGGGAGGCUGUCAAACUCCGGCAGAUUGCCAUGACCACCACUGCCUUUACCACCGGACUUCUCUUCCUCCAUUGGCAGCUCAAUGGUUACAGAAAGAGAACAGAGAGGUCGGCGUCGUGGUUUUUUAUAGGGGAAAGGUUGGUCUGCAAAUUUUGUUUCUGAUUGAAGAAAGAAAUUAGGAACAAUAAAUCUAAUUGGAUCUGUUAUAUUGUUUUCUUAUACUGAUUGAAGAAAGAAAUCAAAAGGGUGUUCUAUUAAUUGAAGAACCCUAAAUCUAACUGUAUUUUUCGAUUUCUUUCUGGGGAUGAUGAAGAAGUUGCAGGUGAAGGAUUUUGAAUAAGAAAAUGAAGGUAGGUGGGUUCUGAUGAAAAACAACGAAGAGAGAGAGAGAGAGAGAGAGANGAAAAAAAAAAAAAAAGAGAGAGAGAGAGAGAGAGAGAGAUAGAGAGAGAGAGAGAGAGAGAGAGGAGGGCAACUUUCUUUUUUCUUUUUCCUUUUUUAAUUUUUAUAAUAAAAAAACUAAAAAAAGAAAAAACAAAGGGUAAAAUCGUCAUUUUAUAAAAAAAUCAAGACAAAUGGACCAAACUCGCAACAAAAUGAAAACCUAUGGACCGCCAGUGCUAGCACAAACCUUUUUGGCCCAAAGUGGCAAUUUCCACCUAACCACAAGGACCAUUCUUGCAAUUUUGUCAAUCGUGUAUAAAUAUGACCAAUUUUUUGGUUUCUGCAUAAAAUUCAGUUAUGAACACUAAUAUGAGAUUUUGUAUAAAUAAUAAAUUUUCAUAAAUGAAUAUUAUUCCUACUGUAUUAGAAAUUGAUUAAUAUUGAUAGGCUAAGAUUUAUGUAUU